ACUUUGAAGAAAGACUUCUCGACGCCGAGACACUGCUGGUGGUACUCGAUCCCAGUGUGUUUUAUGUAUUACAGCACAUCUUGGUUUGGACAGACCACAUAGUGGCCAGUGGCUGCCAUAUUGGACAGCACUGGUGUAAGAGGGUCCAUCUCUCACUCCCACAUCAAUGUCCAAUGGUUUCUCAUUCAACUGGAAAGUGAAAUUGGAAAUCUUGUGAAAGAUGAAGAAUUAUGAAUGUGGUACGUUGAACUGCUGGGCCCACCCACAAGACAUCAACAAAUGAAGGUGUGGAAGGGUUAAACCAGUUAACGUUGAACAAAGGACAAUGGAUAUGAUGAGUUACAAGCUGAGUUGUAUCCCUCCACAAUUCACAUGUUGAAGUCCUAACCUUUAGUACUUCAGGGUGUAACUUAUUUGGAAACUAGAUCAUUAUAGAAGUUAAAACGAGGUCAUAAGGGUGGGCCCUAAUCUUACUAACCUGUCCCUAUAAAAGGGAAAUUUGAACACAGUGACACCCAGAGGGAAGAUGAUGUGAAGACAGAGAGAGAAGACAGCCAUCAGCAAGCCAAGGAGAGAAGUCUGGAAUGGAUCCUCCCCUCACAGCCCUCAGAAGGAACCAAGCCAGCCAGCCUCUCAAUCUCACACUUUUAGCCUCCAGAUCUGUGAGACAAUAAGUUUAUGUUGUUUAAGCCCUCCAGUCUGUGGUACUUUGUAAUGUAGCCCCAGCAAACUAAAACAUGGGUUGGCUGGUGGCAUUAGAACAAGUUGCCCAUGAAAAGGUUACAGGCAGCCUAUAGGACAAUUGAAGAUGCAUUCUACUUUCUGCCUGCACUGUGCAUCUAGUGAAGAAAAAAAAAAAAAACACCUCAAUAACUAUCAGUGAUUCAUGGUGUCAUGGAGGCUCCCUCUGCACAUGUCUUGGGGAAAAGAGAGGAUAAACGGUGGAUAGUGGAAGUUCAAGCCUCCAUCCCUUAUUAUCUGUGUAAUGGGCCAACACACCUCAUUCCUUGAGUUCCUGGCAAGUAGAACUUUCUCCACUAAAGUUUCUGACAAAGGCCUUCUCCAAAUAAGACCCAAUGAGACAUUUGGGAUUCAUUGCCUCCUACUUUCUAGAAACAAAUAGAAAAGGCAGGAAGCACAGCUAACAACAUUGGUGGCCAGCUGAAGGAGUUUACACACCCUACCAUGACCCUGGUAGAGUAGAGACAGCAUGAGUUGAAGCCUGCUACUCAGAAUCCACUGCAACUAAGAGUGUGUGUGUGUGUGUGUGUGUGUGUGUGUGUGUGUGUGUAUGUAUGUGUGUAUGUGUGUGUUUUCUGCAGUUCCAGUCACAGAUCUGCCUGCCACACAGUGGAGCCCUCUCUUGGACUCUGAAUGCAUAGCCCAGCAAAGCCAAGCAACUGAAUCUCACCAUCAGAACAGCUGAGAGCAGCUCCAUCAAAGCAGUCAGUGGUACAUGUGAUCAAUUUGUUUUUUGUAUUUCUGGGCUACAAAAUGUCUCUUAAGUUUCAUCAUUGGACCUAUCGAGAAAGGAGAAAUCAAUUGAGUUGUGGAGAUAAAAGAAAAUUACACACACCCAUGCAUGACCAGGCAACAGAGUCCCAUGCCUGGGGCUAGGCUGGGUGGCUGGCUGUGCCAUUGACUUUCAGGGUGUGUAACUUUUGCCAUCUGUAUGGGGAUGAUAAAACUUCCAUGUGAUCCUUCAGCUGUGGUGAGGAUUCUGUGAGCUGGAAGGUGAAGAGCAUGGUGCAUUCUGUGCCUGAUGUGGACUGUGCACCCAAUGGAGGAGGGAUAUCAUCAUCUCAAACCAUACCCCUAUCCCCAUUUUACAGGUGAGGAAACUGGGGCAUAGAGAGGACCAGUUCCUCUGAGGUCAGCCAGCAAGUGCACGGCAGAAUCAAGUCUCAAACUGGGAGUUGUCUGCUCCCUGAGCCCAGGACUUUCAUUGAAAGCCUCUGAGUCACCAGGGGCAUUGAAGCCCCUCUGGGUGUCUCAAGCAACCCCACAAGGACUGUGUUUUCAACUUAUAGAUGAGAAGACCACCAGCCUGGACAACAUGGCAAAACACCAUCUCUACAAAACAAAAAGAGGAUAGCGGCCAGGCACGGUGGCUCACGCCUGUAAUCCCAGCACUUUGGGAGGCCAAGGCGGGUUGAUCACGAGGUCAAGAGAUCAAGACCAUCCUGGCCAAAAUGGUGAAACCCUGUCUCUACUAAAAAUACAAAAAAUUAGCUGGACGUGGUGGCACGCACCUGUAGUCCCAGCUACUCGGGAGGCUGAGGCAGGAAAAUCGCUUGAACCUGGGAAGUGGAGGUUGCAGUGAGCCGAGAUUGCGCCACUGCACUCCAGCCUGGCGACAGAGUAAAACUCCGUCUC
Molecule: long non-coding RNA, 2376 nt
Filed under: Homo sapiens (human)
Lineage: Eukaryota; Metazoa; Chordata; Mammalia; Primates; Hominidae
Description: non-protein coding lnc-RFX2-1:10
Source: RNAcentral